GGCUGGUUCGAUGGUAGUGGGUUAUUAGAAAUUAUUAACAUUAGUGUCACUAAAGUAGGUAUUCAACCAUCCACUGCUAAAUUGGACUGGCUUACA
RNAcentral lists this Y RNA (96 nucleotides) under Microcebus murinus (gray mouse lemur). Its description in RNAcentral is "Y RNA (ENSMICG00000047319.1)". It matches the Rfam family "Y RNA". From Rfam's summary of the family: Y RNAs are components of the Ro ribonucleoprotein particle (Ro RNP), in association with Ro60 and La proteins. The Y RNAs and Ro60 and La proteins are well conserved, but the function of the Ro RNP is not known. In humans the RNA component can be one of four small RNAs -- hY1, hY3, hY4 and hY5. The record is from Rfam by way of RNAcentral. Lineage: Eukaryota; Metazoa; Chordata; Mammalia; Primates; Cheirogaleidae.